This 227-nucleotide long non-coding RNA is filed under the name Eucalyptus grandis. RNAcentral's name for it is "long non-coding RNA (EGRA_LNC001157)". The record is from RNAcentral. Lineage: Eukaryota; Viridiplantae; Streptophyta; Magnoliopsida; Myrtales; Myrtaceae.
UCUCUCAUCAGUGUGGUGAUCACCGAAGUCAUCUGUAUGGCCACCACCAGCAUCACCAUAGGCAUUGCCACCGCUGUUGUCACCAUAUGCAUUGUAACCACUGUUGUCAGCACCUACAUUGGCAUCAGCAGUGUGAUCUUCCUCCGACCCCGGCCCAUCUUCAGCAUUUGCAAUGCCAUAUUCCCCAGUAGCAUAUGUACCACCAAAUACAAUACAUAGCUCGGGAU